RNAcentral lists this unclassified non-coding RNA (201 nucleotides) under Hevea brasiliensis (rubber tree). Lineage: Eukaryota; Viridiplantae; Streptophyta; Magnoliopsida; Malpighiales; Euphorbiaceae. The record is from RNAcentral.
GGGCUGGCUUCGAAUAACGUAUAUUUCUAAAUGAAAUAGCUUACCUUAUUGUCCAAUUUUAAGACUCUUUUUUAAUGCCUUGCGCCUGCUUUUAUAAAAUCUCAUCCUUACUGGCCGCCUGCUGGUCUAAGCUUUAUUUUAUAUCUAUCUCUAGCUUUCUUACUUACUUUAUCACAGCACAGGUAAUCUCUGACCAUCACA